GAACGCUGGCGGCAUGCCUUACACAUGCAAGUCGAACGGCAGCACGGGUGCUUGCACCUGGUGGCGAGUGGCGAACGGGUGAGUAAUACAUCGGAACGUACCUUAUCGUGGGGGAUAACGCAGCGAAAGUUGCGCUAAUACCGCAUACGCCCUGAGGGGGAAAGCGGGGGACCGUAAGGCCUCGCGCGAUUAGAGCGGCCGAUGUCUGAUUAGCUUGUUGGUGAGGUAAAAGCUCACCAGGGAGAUGAUCAGUAGCUGGUCUGAGAGGACGAUCAGCCACACUGGGAUCUGAGACACGGGAAAGACUCCUACGGAGGUCUGCAGUGG
This 327-nucleotide ribosomal RNA is filed under the name uncultured bacterium. RNAcentral describes it as "bacterial SSU rRNA". It matches the Rfam family "Bacterial small subunit ribosomal RNA", at positions 31 to 357 of the family's 1533-position model. The record is from RNAcentral.